GUAGGGAAUCUUCCACAAUGGACGCAAGUCUGAUGGAGCAACGCCGCGUGAGUGAAGAAGGUCUUCGGAUCGUAAAACUCUGUUGUUAGAGAAGAACACGAGUGAGAGUAACUGCUCAUUCGAUGACGGUAUCUAACCAGCAAGUCACGGCUAACUACGCGCCAG
This 165-nucleotide ribosomal RNA is filed under the name uncultured bacterium. Its description in RNAcentral is "partial 16S rRNA". It matches the Rfam family "Bacterial small subunit ribosomal RNA", at positions 354 to 511 of the family's 1533-position model. The record is from RNAcentral.